Small nuclear RNA from Ailuropoda melanoleuca (giant panda), 107 nucleotides. The record is from Ensembl. NCBI's taxonomy places the organism in Eukaryota, Metazoa, Chordata, Mammalia, Carnivora, Ursidae.
GUGCUCACUUUGGCAGCACGUAUAUUAAAAUUGGAACAAUACGGAGAAGAUUAGCAUGGCCCCUGUACAAGGAGGACACACAGAUUCUCGGUGUUAGCUUGAUAGCU